Molecule: non-coding RNA, 84 nt
Organism: Bombyx mori (domestic silkworm)
Lineage: Eukaryota; Metazoa; Arthropoda; Insecta; Lepidoptera; Bombycidae
Source: Rfam
UUAACUCAAAUUUGUAUGGAGUUGGAACGUUUGCCUACGUUUGCCACUAGGGGCGCUGUUCCAACUGCAUACAAAUUUGAGUUC